Acanthosepion pharaonis is the source of this 99-nucleotide non-coding RNA. The record is from the annotation of a GenBank genome assembly. Lineage: Eukaryota; Metazoa; Mollusca; Cephalopoda; Sepiida; Sepiidae.
AUUCAAACAUCUGUUCCCAUAUGAUCAUUGAUAUUAAGCAAUGUCAAGCCUGGUCAGUACUUAGAUAGGUGACCUCUUGGGAAUACCAGAGGCUGUAAG